UACGGGGGGGGCGAGCGUUGUUCGGAAUUACUGGGCGUAAAGGGUGCGUAGGCGGUUUGCUAAGUUGGAUGUGAAAACUCUGGGCUUAACCCAGAGCCUGCAUUCAAAACUGACAAGCUAGAGUUCUGGAGGGGGUAGCGGAAUUCCUGGUGUAGCGGUGAAAUGCGUAGAUAUCAGGAGGAACACCGGUGGCGAAGGCGGCUACCUGGACAGAAACUGACGCUGAGGCACGAAAGCUAGGGGAGCAAACAGG
This 253-nucleotide ribosomal RNA is filed under the name uncultured bacterium. Its description in RNAcentral is "partial 16S ribosomal RNA". It matches the Rfam family "Bacterial small subunit ribosomal RNA", at positions 524 to 776 of the family's 1533-position model. The record is from RNAcentral.